GGAUUGUGGCUCAGUGGUAGAGCACUUGCCUAGCACGUGCAAGAUGCUGGGUUCAAUCCUUAGCACCA
This 68-nucleotide transfer RNA is filed under the name Marmota monax (woodchuck). RNAcentral describes it as "tRNA.Ala". Lineage: Eukaryota; Metazoa; Chordata; Mammalia; Rodentia; Sciuridae. The record is from RNAcentral.